GGACCCUUAGCUCAGUUGGUUAGAGCAGACGGCUCAUAACCGUCCGGUCGUAGGUUCGAGUCCCACAGGGUCCA
RNAcentral lists this transfer RNA (74 nucleotides) under Bacillus mycoides. Its description in RNAcentral is "tRNA-Ile". It matches the Rfam family "tRNA". Rfam says of the family: Transfer RNA (tRNA) molecules are approximately 80 nucleotides in length. Their secondary structure includes four short double-helical elements and three loops (D, anti-codon, and T loops). Further hydrogen bonds mediate the characteristic L-shaped molecular structure. tRNAs have two regions of fundamental functional importance: the anti-codon, which is responsible for specific mRNA codon recognition, and the 3' end, to which the tRNAs corresponding amino acid is attached (by aminoacyl-tRNA synthetases). tRNAs cope with the degeneracy of the genetic code in two manners: having more than one tRNA (with a specific anti-codon) for a particular amino acid; and 'wobble' base-pairing, i.e. permitting non-standard base-pairing at the 3rd anti-codon position. RNAcentral also lists the same sequence under 1 other name. The record is from RNAcentral. Lineage: Bacteria; Bacillati; Bacillota; Bacilli; Caryophanales; Bacillaceae.